AAUCUUGCGCAAUGGGCGAAAGCCUGACGCAGCCAUGCCGCGUGAAUGAUGAAGGUCUUAGGUUUGUAAAAUUCUUUCACCGGGGACGAUAAUGACGGUACCCGGAGAAGAAGCCCCGGCUAACUGCGUGACAGCAGCCGCGGUAAUACGAAGGGGGCUAGGGUUGCCCGGAAUUACUGGGCGUAAAGGGCGCGGGGGGGGACAUUUAAGUCAGGGGUGAAAUCCGAGAGCUCAACUCUGGAACUGCCUUUGAUACUGGGUGUCUUGAGUGUGAGAGAGGUAUGUGGAACUCCGAGUGUAGGGGUGAAAUUCGUAGAUAUUCGGAAGAACACCAGUGGCGAAGGCGACAUACUGGCUCAUUACUGACGCUGAGGCGCGAAAGCGUGGGGAGCAAACA
RNAcentral lists this ribosomal RNA (397 nucleotides) under uncultured bacterium. RNAcentral describes it as "partial 16S ribosomal RNA". It matches the Rfam family "Bacterial small subunit ribosomal RNA", at positions 360 to 774 of the family's 1533-position model. The record is from RNAcentral.